UACGUAGGUGGCGAGCGUUGUCCGGAUUUACUGGGCGUAAAGAGCGCGCAGGCGGUCGUGCAAGUCGGAUGUGAAAGCCCCCGGCUCAACUGGGGAGAGUCAUUCGAUACUGCUCGACUUGAAGGCGGGAGAGGGAAGCGGAAUUCCCGGUGUAGUGGUGAAAUGCGUAGAUAUCGGGAGGAACACCAGUGGCGAAGGCGGCUUCCUGGCCCGUUCGUGACGUUGAGGCGCGAAAGCUAGGGGAGCAAACGGG
RNAcentral lists this ribosomal RNA (253 nucleotides) under uncultured bacterium. RNAcentral's name for it is "partial 16S ribosomal RNA". It matches the Rfam family "Bacterial small subunit ribosomal RNA", at positions 524 to 776 of the family's 1533-position model. The record is from RNAcentral.